Molecule: non-coding RNA, 81 nt
Organism: Termitomyces sp. T32_za158
Lineage: Eukaryota; Fungi; Basidiomycota; Agaricomycetes; Agaricales; Lyophyllaceae
Source: the annotation of a GenBank genome assembly
GGCCGCCUGGCGAAAUGGCAUCGCGUCUGACUACGACUUUGUGUAAUCAGGAGAUUGCAGGUUCGACCCCUGCGGUGGUCA